UUUUGUGCAGCCUGUUGCAGCAUAAAUGAAACAGGCAAACUUUUCAAGACCAGUGCAAUCUAAAUUAGGAUCAACGUUUUUAGUCUUUGAUCACAGCAAGUUGUCUUUGAAAGAUAAGGCCGGGCUCAAUAGGGAAAAGAGAAGAGCCUUCUUAUAUUUUGGUAGAUAAACAAUUGGAAAUUUUGGUGUGUUCUGCUUGUUACUUUUCCAGUAAAAUGAUUUGCAUGGUGAAAUGCCGUUUUGUAAUCUGAAUAAUAAUGUACAGUUGUUUUGGUUU
RNAcentral lists this small RNA (277 nucleotides) under Oryza sativa Japonica Group (Japanese rice). RNAcentral's name for it is "Os01g0681900". The record is from RNAcentral. Lineage: Eukaryota; Viridiplantae; Streptophyta; Magnoliopsida; Poales; Poaceae.